RNAcentral lists this ribosomal RNA (447 nucleotides) under uncultured bacterium. RNAcentral describes it as "partial 16S ribosomal RNA". It matches the Rfam family "Bacterial small subunit ribosomal RNA", at positions 29 to 523 of the family's 1533-position model. The record is from RNAcentral.
AGCGAACGUUGGCGGCAGGCUUAACACAUGCAAGUCGAGCGCCCCGCAAGGGGAGCGGCAGACGGGUGAGUAACACGUGGGAACGUGCCUUUUGGUUCGGAACAACCCAGGGAAACUUGGGCUAAUACCGGAUAAGCCCUUACGGGGAAAGAUUUAUCGCCAAAAGAUCGGCCCGCGUCUGAUUAGCUAGUUGGUGGGGUAAUGGCCCACCAAGGCUACGAUCAGUAGCUGGUCUGAGGGGAUGAUCAGCCACAUUGGGACUGAGACACGGCUCAAACUCCUACGGGGGGCAGCAGUGGGGAAUAUUGGACAAUGGGGGCAACCCUGAUCCAGCCAUGCCGGGUGAGUGAUGAAGGCCUUAGGGUUGUAAAGCUCUUUUAGCAGGGAAGAUAAUGACGGUACCUGCAGAAAAAGCCCCGGCUAACUUCGUGCCAGCCGCCGCCGUAA